Long non-coding RNA from Mandrillus leucophaeus (drill), 551 nucleotides. RefSeq lists it as uncharacterized. The record is from RefSeq and is a predicted model, not a curated record. Lineage: Eukaryota; Metazoa; Chordata; Mammalia; Primates; Cercopithecidae. The transcript is spliced from 2 exons.
CACUUUCUCUGUGAUAGCCAAGAGCUGGAAACCACUGCCACGCCCACCAGCCGGUGAACAGAUUAACCCACUGGGCUAGAGCCACACAAUGAGAUGCUACUUGGCAACCGUGGACACACACUGCAUGGCGGACGAAUGUGCAGGCAUGAGGCCACGUGAAGGGAGCCAGGCCCCGAGGUGCCACACUUUGUGCUUCAGAGAAGAAAACACGCAGCCAAAGAGUGUAAAGAGGCUCAGAGGAGGUUCGGGUGCCCUGGAGAGACCCUGCGUCCUGACGACACGGCGUCCCUGUCCUGCAGUGGAGGUUUCCCAGAUGAAGGGGUCCCUGGCGGGAGACAGGGCCCUGCACACGGGUCCUCUGCCACGCUGCUCACCAUGCCUGUGCGUUAUCUCACCAUGAAGUCACCUAGGCCGGGCAUGGUGCCUCAUGCCUAUAAUCCCAGCACUUUGGGAGGCGGAGGUGGGCGGAUCACCUGAGAUCAGGAGUUUGAGACCAUCCUGACUAACAUGGUGAAACCCUGUCUCUAUGAAAAAUACAAAAAUUAACUGGG